ACUAAGCGUACACGGUGGAUGCCCUGGCAGUCAGAGGCGAUGAAGGACGUGCUAAUCUGCGAUAAGCGUCGGUAAGGUGAUAUGAACCGUUAUAACCGGCGAUUUCCGAAUGGGGAAACCCAGUGUGUUUCGACACACUAUCAUUAACUGAAUCCAUAGGUUAAUGAGGCGAACCGGGGGAACUGAAACAUCUAAGUACCCCGAGGAAAAGAAAUCAACCGAGAUUCCCCCAGUAGCGGCGAGCGAACGGGGAGCAGCCCAGAGCCUGAAUCAGUGUGUGUGUUAGUGGAAGCGUCUGGAAAGGCGUGCGAUACAGGGUGAGAGCCCCGUACACAAAAAUGCACAUGCUGUGAGCUCGAUGAGUAGGGCGGGACACGUGGUAUCCUGUCUGAAUAUGGGGGGACCAUCCUCCAAGGCUAAAUACUCCUGACUGACCGAUAGUGAACCAGUACCGUGAGGGAAAGGCGAAAAGAACCCCGGCGAGGGAGUGAAAAAGAACCUGAAACCGUGUACGUACAAGCAGUGGGAGCACGCUUAGGCGUGUGACUGCGUACCUUUUGUAUAAUGGGUCAGCGACUUAUAUUCUGUAGCAAGGUUAACCGAAUAGGGGAGCCGAAGGGAAACCGAGUCUUAACUGGGCGUUAAGUUGCAGGGUAUAGACCCGAAACCCGGUGAUCUAGCCAUGGGCAGGUUGAAGGUUGGGUAACACUAACUGGAGGACCGAACCGACUAAUGUUGAAAAAUUAGCGGAUGACUUGUGGCUGGGGGUGAAAGGCCAAUCAAACCGGGAGAUAGCUGGUUCUCCCCGAAAGCUAUUUAGGUAGCGCCUCGUGAAUUCAUCUCCGGGGGUAGAGCACUGUUUCGGCAAGGGGGUCAUCCCGACUUACCAACCCGAUGCAAACUGCGAAUACCGGAGAAUGUUAUCACGGGAGACACACGGCGGGUGCUAACGUCCGUCGUGAAGAGGGAAACAACCCAGACCGCCAGCUAAGGUCCCAAAGUCAUGGUUAAGUGGGAAACGAUGUGGGAAGGCCCAGACAGCCAGGAUGUUGGCUUAGAAGCAGCCAUCAUUUAAAGAAAGCGUAAUAGCUCACUGGUCGAGUCGGCCUGCGCGGAAGAUGUAACGGGGCUAAACCAUGCACCGAAGCUGCGGCAGCGACACUAUGUGUUGUUGGGUAGGGGAGCGUUCUGUAAGCCUGUGAAGGUGUACUGUGAGGUAUGCUGGAGGUAUCAGAAGUGCGAAUGCUGACAUAAGUAACGAUAAAGCGGGUGAAAAGCCCGCUCGCCGGAAGACCAAGGGUUCCUGUCCAACGUUAAUCGGGGCAGGGUGAGUCGACCCCUAAGGCGAGGCCGAAAGGCGUAGUCGAUGGGAAACAGGUUAAUAUUCCUGUACUUGGUGUUACUGCGAAGGGGGGACGGAGAAGGCUAUGUUGGCCGGGCGACGGUUGUCCCGGUUUAAGCGUGUAGGCUGGUUUUCCAGGCAAAUCCGGAAAAUCAAGGCUGAGGCGUGAUGACGAGGCACUACGGUGCUGAAGCAACAAAUGCCCUGCUUCCAGGAAAAGCCUCUAAGCAUCAGGUAACAUCAAAUCGUACCCCAAACCGACACAGGUGGUCAGGUAGAGAAUACCAAGGCGCUUGAGAGAACUCGGGUGAAGGAACUAGGCAAAAUGGUGCCGUAACUUCGGGAGAAGGCACGCUGAUAUGUAGGUGAAGUCCCUCGCGGAUGGAGCUGAAAUCAGUCGAAGAUACCAGCUGGCUGCAACUGUUUAUUAAAAACACAGCACUGUGCAAACACGAAAGUGGACGUAUACGGUGUGACGCCUGCCCGGUGCCGGAAGGUUAAUUGAUGGGGUUAGCGCAAGCGAAGCUCUUGAUCGAAGCCCCGGUAAACGGCGGCCGUAACUAUAACGGUCCUAAGGUAGCGAAAUUCCUUGUCGGGUAAGUUCCGACCUGCACGAAUGGCGUAAUGAUGGCCAGGCUGUCUCCACCCGAGACUCAGUGAAAUUGAACUCGCUGUGAAGAUGCAGUGUACCCGCGGCAAGACGGAAAGACCCCGUGAACCUUUACUAUAGCUUGACACUGAACAUUGAGCCUUGAUGUGUAGGAUAGGUGGGAGGCUUUGAAGUGUGGACGCCAGUCUGCAUGGAGCCGGCCUUGAAAUACCACCCUUUAAUGUUUGAUGUUCUAACGUUGACCCGUGAUCCGGGUUGCGGACAGUGUCUGGUGGGUAGUUUGACUGGGGCGGUCUCCUCCUAAAGAGUAACGGAGGAGCACGAAGGUUGGCUAAUCCUGGUCGGACAUCAGGAGGUUAGUGCAAUGGCAUAAGCCAGCUUGACUGCGAGCGUGACGGCGCGAGCAGGUGCGAAAGCAGGUCAUAGUGAUCCGGUGGUUCUGAAUGGAAGGGCCAUCGCUCAACGGAUAAAAGGUACUCCGGGGAUAACAGGCUGAUACCGCCCAAGAGUUCAUAUCGACGGCGGUGUUUGGCACCUCGAUGUCGGCUCAUCACAUCCUGGGGCUGAAGUAGGUCCCAAGGGUAUGGCUGUUCGCCAUUUAAAGUGGUACGCGAGCUGGGUUUAGAACGUCGUGAGACAGUUCGGUCCCUAUCUGCCGUGGGCGCUGGAGAACUGAGGGGGGCUGCUCCUAGUACGAGAGGACCGGAGUGGACGCAUCACUGGUGUUCGGGUUGUCAUGCCAAUGGCACUGCCCGGUAGCUAAAUGCGGAAGAGAUAAGUGCUGAAAGCAUCUAAGCACGAAACUUGCCCCGAGAUGAGUUCUCCCUGACUCCUUGAGAGUCCUGAAGGAACGUUGAAGACGACGACGUUGAUAGGCCGGGUGUGUAAGCGCAGCGAUGCGUUGAGCUAACCGGUACUAAUGAACCGUGAGGCUUAACC
RNAcentral lists this ribosomal RNA (2891 nucleotides) under Escherichia coli O114:H49. Its description in RNAcentral is "bacterial LSU rRNA". It matches the Rfam family "Bacterial large subunit ribosomal RNA". The record is from RNAcentral. Lineage: Bacteria; Pseudomonadati; Pseudomonadota; Gammaproteobacteria; Enterobacterales; Enterobacteriaceae.